This 655-nucleotide ribosomal RNA is filed under the name Chromohalobacter sp. RNAcentral describes it as "bacterial SSU rRNA". It matches the Rfam family "Bacterial small subunit ribosomal RNA", at positions 750 to 1403 of the family's 1533-position model. The record is from RNAcentral. Lineage: Bacteria; Pseudomonadati; Pseudomonadota; Gammaproteobacteria; Oceanospirillales; Halomonadaceae.
CGUGCGAAAGCGUGGGUAGCAAACCAGGAUUAGAUACCCUGGUAGUCCACGCCAGUAAACGAUGUAGACUAGCCGUUGGGUCCCCUGAGGAUUUAGUGGCGCAGUUAACCCGAUAAGUCGACCGCCUGGGGAGUACGGCCGCAAGGUUAAAACUCAAAUGAAUUGACGGGGGCCCGCACAAGCGGUGGAGCAUGUGGUUUAAUUCGAUGCAACGCGAAGAACCUUACCUACCCUUGACAUCCUGCGAACCCGGAAGAGAUUCCGGGGUGCCUUCGGGAGCGCAGAGACAGGUGCUGCAUGGCUGUCGUCAGCUCGUGUUGUGAAAUGUUGGGUUAAGUCCCGUAACGAGCGCAACCCUUGUCCCUAUUUGCCAGCGAUUCGGUCGGGAACUCUAGGGAGACUGCCGGUGACAAACCGGAGGAAGGUGGGGACGACGUCAAGUCAUCAUGGCCCUUACGGGUAGGGCUACACACGUGCUACAAUGGCCGGUACAAAGGGUUGCGAAAGCGCGAGCUGAAGCUAAUCCCGAAAAGCCGGUCUCAGUCCGGAUCGGAGUCUGCAACUCGACUCCGCGAAGUCGGAAUCGCUAGUAAUCGUGCAUCAGAAUGGCACGGUGAAUACGUUCCCGGGCCUUGUACACACCGCCCGUCACACC